UACAGGGGGGUGCAAACGUUGCUCGGAAUCAUUGGGCGUAAAGCGCACGUAGGCGGUUCGUUAUGUCGGAUGUGAAAGCCCUUGGCUUAACCGAGGAAGUGCAUCCGAAAACUGGCGAGCUAGAGUACUAAAGAGGAUCGCGGAAUUCCCGGUGUAGAGGUGAAAUUCGUAGAUAUCGGGAGGAACACCGGUGGCGAAGGCGGCGAUCUGGGUAGAUACUGACGCUGAGGUGCGAAAAGCGUGGGGGAGCAAACAGG
RNAcentral lists this ribosomal RNA (257 nucleotides) under uncultured bacterium. Its description in RNAcentral is "partial 16S ribosomal RNA". It matches the Rfam family "Bacterial small subunit ribosomal RNA", at positions 524 to 776 of the family's 1533-position model. The record is from RNAcentral.